UACGUAGGGGGCAAGCGUUGUCCGGAUUUAUUGGGCGUAAAGAGCUCGUAGGCGGCUCGGUAAGUCGGAUGUGAAACCUCCAGGCUCAACCUGGAGACGCCAUCUGAUACUGCCGUGGCUUGAGUCCGGUAGAGGAGCAGGGAAUUCCUGGUGUAGCGGUGAAAUGCGCAGAUAUCAGGAGGAACACCAGCGGCGAAGGCGCUGCUCUGGGCCGGUACUGACACUGAGGAGCGAAAGCGUGGGGAGCGAACAGG
This 254-nucleotide ribosomal RNA is filed under the name uncultured bacterium. Its description in RNAcentral is "partial 16S ribosomal RNA". It matches the Rfam family "Bacterial small subunit ribosomal RNA", at positions 524 to 776 of the family's 1533-position model. The record is from RNAcentral.